Molecule: unclassified non-coding RNA, 206 nt
Filed under: plant metagenome
Description: partial contains small subunit ribosomal RNA, internal transcribed spacer 1, and 5.8S ribosomal RNA
Source: RNAcentral
UCUCCGUUGGUGAACCAGCGGAGGGAUCAUUACUGAGUCGUAAAAAACUCCCAACCCAUGUGAAUUUACCUAUGUUGCCUCGGCGGGACCUACCCGGUAUCUACCCUGUAGCCCGCCGAUGGACCAUUAAACUCUUGUUAUUUUAUAUAAAUCUGAGCGUCUUAUUAAAUAAGUCAAAACUUUCAACAACGGAUCUCUUGGUUCUG